UAGGGGUGACUGGAAUUCCUGGUGUAGCGGUGGAAUGCGCAGAUAUCAGGAGGAACACCGAUGGCGAAGGCAGGUCACUGGGCCACUACUGACGCUGAGGAGCGAAAGCAUGGGGAGCGAACAGGAUUAGAUACCCUGGUAGUCCAUGCCGUAAACGUUGGGCACUAGGUGUGGGGCUCAUUCCACGAGUUCCGCGCCGCAGCUAACGCAUUAAGUGCCCCGCCUGGGGAGUACGGCCGCAAGGCUAAAACUCAAAGGAAUUGACGGGGGCCCGCACAAGCGGCGGAGCAUGCGGAUUAAUUCGAUGCAACGCGAAGAACCUUACCAAGGCUUGACAUACACCGGAAUCAUGCAGAGAUGUGUGCGUCUUCGGACUGGUGUACAGGUGGUGCAUGGUUGUCGUCAGCUCGUGUCGUGAGAUGUUGGGUUAAGUCCCGCAACGAGCGCAACCCUCGUCCUAUGUUGCCAGCACGUUAUGGUGGGGACUCAUAGGAGACUGCCGGGGUCAACUCGGAGGAAGGUGGGGAUGACGUCAAAUCAUCAUGCCCCUUAUGUCUUGGGCUUCACGCAUGCUACAAUGGCCGGUACAAAGGGCUGCGAUACCGCGAGGUGGAGCGAAUCCCAAAAAGCCGGUCUCAGUUCGGAUUGGGGUCUGCAACUCGACCCCAUGAAGUCGGAGUCGCUAGUAAUCGCAGAUCAGCAACGCUGCGGUGAAUACGUUCCCGGGCCUUGUACACACCGCCCGUCAAGUCACGAAAGUCGGUAACACCCGAAGCCGGUGNNCNNUAACCCCNUGUGNG
RNAcentral lists this ribosomal RNA (800 nucleotides) under unidentified microorganism. RNAcentral describes it as "bacterial SSU rRNA". It matches the Rfam family "Bacterial small subunit ribosomal RNA", at positions 652 to 1449 of the family's 1533-position model. The record is from RNAcentral.